This 465-nucleotide ribosomal RNA is filed under the name Vreelandella stevensii. RNAcentral describes it as "partial 16S ribosomal RNA". It matches the Rfam family "Bacterial small subunit ribosomal RNA", at positions 338 to 795 of the family's 1533-position model. Lineage: Bacteria; Pseudomonadati; Pseudomonadota; Gammaproteobacteria; Oceanospirillales; Halomonadaceae. The record is from RNAcentral.
CCUACGGGUGGCAGCAGUGGGGAAUAUUGGACAAUGGGCGAAAGCCUGAUCCAGCCAUGCCGCGUGUGUGAAGAAGGCCUUCGGGUUGUAAAGCACUUUCAGUGGGGAAGAAAGCCUUGGGGCUAAUACCCUCGAGGAAGGACAUCACCCACAGAAGAAGCACCGGCUAACUCCGUGCCAGCAGCCGCGGUAAUACGGAGGGUGCGAGCGUUAAUCGGAAUUACUGGGCGUAAAGCGCGCGUAGGCGGUCUGAUAAGCCGGUUGUGAAAGCCCCGGGCUCAACCUGGGAACGGCAUCCGGAACGGUCAGGCUAGAGUGCAGGAGAGGAAGGGAGAAUUCCCGGUGUAGCGGUGAAAUGCGUAGAGAUCGGGAGGAAUGCCAGUGGCGAAGGCGGCCUUCUGGACUGACACUGACGCUGAGGUGCGAAAGCGUGGGUAGCAAACAGGAUUAGAUACCCCGGUAGUC